GCAACCCUCUGCCAUCCUCUUCUUCAAUGUGGAAGGUUUGUUCUUUUGUUCUUUGUGAUAAAUCUUGCUGUUGCUCACUCUUUGGGUCCACACUGAGUUUAUGAGCUGUAACACUUAUGAGCCAGCGAGACCACGAACCCACCAGAAGGAAGAAACUGCGAACACAUUGGAACAUCAGAAGGAACAAACUCUGGACAUCCUGCUUUUAGGAACUGUAACACUCACUGCGAGAGUCUGCGGCUUCAUUCUUUUAGUCAGUGAGACCAAGAACCCACCAAUUCCGGACAGGGCAUCUACCUAGAAGUCAGCAGCUCAGUGGAGUCUUUCCUGGUAACCCGACCUAAAAUCCCCAAACUGCCAAGAAUUGGUGUACAAAUAUCACGGACAGUGGGAAAAACAAUGAAUGCUGCCUGCUUAAGUCACAAGGGUCUCACUCUGUCAACCAGGCUGGAGUGCAGUGGUGCGAUUGUUCCUCUCACUUUAACCUCCACCUCCUGGAUUCAAGCAAUUCUCCUGCCUCAACCCUCCAAGUAACUGGGAUUACAAUAUGUUAUGAAAUACAAAAGGAGGAAAAAAAAUAAAAGAUGAAAAGAUAAUAACAGUGAUCACUGUUGAAUCUAGGGAUUGUGUGCAUAAUAGUUC
Molecule: long non-coding RNA, 642 nt
Filed under: Homo sapiens (human)
Lineage: Eukaryota; Metazoa; Chordata; Mammalia; Primates; Hominidae
Description: HSALNT0348094
Source: RNAcentral